RNAcentral lists this non-coding RNA (23 nucleotides) under Arabidopsis thaliana (thale cress). Lineage: Eukaryota; Viridiplantae; Streptophyta; Magnoliopsida; Brassicales; Brassicaceae. The record is from RNAcentral.
GUGGUGAGUUUGAAUAAUCAGUC